RNAcentral lists this ribosomal RNA (469 nucleotides) under uncultured bacterium. Its description in RNAcentral is "partial 16S ribosomal RNA". It matches the Rfam family "Bacterial small subunit ribosomal RNA", at positions 28 to 507 of the family's 1533-position model. The record is from RNAcentral.
GACGAACGCUGGCGGCGUGCUUAACACAUGCAAGUCGAACGGUGAAGCGAGUGCUUGCACUCGUGGAUCAGUGGCGAACGGGUGAGUAACACGUGAGUAACCUGCCCAUCACUCUGGGAUAAGCACUGGAAACGGUGUCUAAUACUGGAUACGACCAACCCUUGCAUGGGGUGUUGGUGGAAAGAUUUAUCGGUGAUGGAUGGACUCGCGGCCUAUCAGCUUGUUGGCGGGGUAAUGGCCCACCAAGGCGACGACGGGUAGCCGGCCUGAGAGGGUGACCGGCCACACUGGGACUGAGACACGGCCCAGACUCCUACGGGAGGCAGCAGUGGGGAAUAUUGCACAAUGGGCGAAAGCCUGAUGCAGCGACGCCGCGUGAGGGAUGACGGCCUUCGGGUUGUAAACCUCUUUCAGCAGGGAAGAAGCGAAGGUGACGGUACCUGCAGAAGAAGCACCGGCUAACUACGUG